Long non-coding RNA from Tympanuchus pallidicinctus (lesser prairie-chicken), 405 nucleotides. RefSeq lists it as uncharacterized. The record is from RefSeq and is a predicted model, not a curated record. The transcript has 3 exons. Lineage: Eukaryota; Metazoa; Chordata; Aves; Galliformes; Phasianidae.
AGGAAACAACCACGCAUUAAUACUGCAAUUAAAUAGCAAAAUGGGUAAAGCAGGAGAUUAUGGGCAGCUAGCUUGGAUGUUCCCACUGGCCUUUUGAGUGUCUCUUCCCAUGGACUGCAGAGGAAAUUUGGACUUCUAAACUCAUAUGUCCUGAAUUGCACCGAAGAAUAGGAGAACACAUGGAGCAGUCACUACCAAUAGUGGAUAGCUCAUGACAUCUUACCAUCAUGAAGGCAAAAGAAGUUGGAACUGGGAACCAGAAGAACUUCUGACUAUUUCACCAAUGAACUGGAUUUGGAGUGGUGGAGAGAAGCAGCGGGUUUUCCUUCUGCAUCUGAUACUCCUACUGGCUGUUAUACCAAGCACGCCACUCUCGCAGAGCCUAUUGUUAAAUUUGAAUAGUAG